This 345-nucleotide unclassified non-coding RNA is filed under the name soil metagenome. Its description in RNAcentral is "partial contains 5.8S ribosomal RNA, internal transcribed spacer 2, and large subunit ribosomal RNA". The stretch from base 1 to 119 matches the Rfam family "5.8S ribosomal RNA", at positions 35 to 154 of the family's 154-position model. The record is from RNAcentral.
GAUGAAGAACGUAGCGAAAUGCGAUACGUAAUGUGAAUUGCAAAUUCAGUGAAUCAUCGAGUCUUUGAACGCACAUUGCGCCCCCUGGUAUUCCGGGGGGCAUGCCUGUCCGAGCGUCAUUGCUGCCCUCAAGCACGGCUUGUGUGUUGGGCCCCGUCCUCCGAUCCCGGGGGACGGGCCCGAAAGGCAGCGGCGGCUCCGCGUCCGGUCCUCGAGCGUAUGGGGCUUUGUCACCCGCUCUGUAGGCCCGGCCGGCGCUUGCCGAUCAACCCAAAUUUUUAUCCAGGUUGACCUCGGAUCAGGUAGGGAUACCCGCUGAACUUAAGCAUAUCAAUAAGCGGAGGA